UACGGAGGGUGCAAGCGUUAUCCGGAUUCACUGGGUUUAAAGGGUGCGUAGGUGGGCAAGUAAGUCAGUGGUGAAAUCUCCGGGCUUAACCCGGAAACUGCCAUUGAUACUAUUUGUCUUGAAUAUUGUGGAGGUAAGCGGAAUAUGUCAUGUAGCGGUGAAAUGCUUAGAUAUGACAUAGAACACCAAUUGCGAAGGCAGCUUACUACACAAUGAUUGACGCUGAGGCACGAAAGCGUGGGGAUCAAACAGG
Molecule: ribosomal RNA, 253 nt
Filed under: uncultured bacterium
Lineage: Bacteria
Description: partial 16S ribosomal RNA
Rfam family: Bacterial small subunit ribosomal RNA
Source: RNAcentral